UACGUAGGGUGCGAGCGUUGUCCGGAAUUAUUGGGCGUAAAGAGCUCGUAGGCGGUUUGUCGCGUCGGCCGUGAAAACUUGGGGCUUAACUCCAAGCUUGCGGUCGAUACGGGCAGACUUGAGUUCGGCAGGGGAGACUGGAAUUCCUGGUGUAGCGGUGAAAUGCGCAGAUAUCAGGAGGAACACCGGUGGCGAAGGCGGGUCUCUGGGCCGACACUGACGCUGAGGCGCGAAAGCUAGGGGAGCGAACGGG
This 253-nucleotide ribosomal RNA is filed under the name uncultured bacterium. Its description in RNAcentral is "partial 16S ribosomal RNA". It matches the Rfam family "Bacterial small subunit ribosomal RNA", at positions 524 to 776 of the family's 1533-position model. The record is from RNAcentral.